Molecule: long non-coding RNA, 896 nt
Filed under: Amphibalanus amphitrite
Lineage: Eukaryota; Metazoa; Arthropoda; Thecostraca; Balanomorpha; Balanidae
Description: uncharacterized LOC122382539
Source: RNAcentral
AGUACUCAUCGAUGCUUGGUAUUUAUGCUCAGGAUCAUGAGUAUGUGGUUAGUAAUCUAGCCGUGAGUAGGCUUCCAGCUCGCUGAUUGGUUGAGCCGAUGUGGCACAGCCGCGCACGUUUCGCGCGCGUCUGCCAUUAUUUCAGUUGAAUUCCGUUGCUUGGUGGUGAAGGUGCGUCGCUCGCGUGUGCAGCAUUUUAUGGACUUGGUGUGCAGAAACUGAAACUCGGAUUCCGAGGCCAAUAUUUCUUUUCGAUAUACCAUCGCACUGCUGCCGGGGCUGGUGCCGGUACAGACGCUCGCCCCGAUCGACGCCGGAUGCUCGCCGCCGGGUGGCUUCAGAAUGUGAAGUCUGCCUGCUCCUGUUCGAUAGGUAAAGUUUCGGAGACACUGGUGCGUCUUCUGGAAACUGCAGUCUCAAGGAUGGCGACGGUGGAAGUGCGCCCAUGGUUUUCCAGUCCCUCGCGCUACUGAGCCAAAAUACCAGCACCCUUCGAGCUGCAGUGCGCCGAUCUCGCGGUAGGAGGUGGUUAAAAAACUAUGCGAUCUUGCGCAGUGUUUGCGAUCUAUGGGAGUGUUUCAUCGUUUUUUUUACGGACUUCUUUUAGUGUUGUGUUUAACGGAUUACGCCCCGUACCCAGCUCUUGAAUUGCAUGUUGGCAGAGAUGUCGUAUGAUGGGUUUUUGUAAUAAACUUCAGUGUUUUUCCUCGUGUUUGUCACGUCUGCAAGGCGUAAGGUUAACGAACGCAUUUUUGGUUUCAUGCGUUGGCAUCCGCGUUAGUAACACCCAUCUUAAAUGGGUUAGUAUUAUCAUUAUUCAGAGUUGGUUAUCGUUAGUAUUAGCCUGAGUAAGCGUGUGGUCCGCCUUGGUAAUACUGUGGGUAGCGUCUGAGUAG